RNAcentral lists this transfer RNA (70 nucleotides) under Urocitellus parryii (Arctic ground squirrel). RNAcentral describes it as "Spermophilus parryii (Arctic ground squirrel) tRNA". It matches the Rfam family "tRNA". From Rfam's summary of the family: Transfer RNA (tRNA) molecules are approximately 80 nucleotides in length. Their secondary structure includes four short double-helical elements and three loops (D, anti-codon, and T loops). Further hydrogen bonds mediate the characteristic L-shaped molecular structure. tRNAs have two regions of fundamental functional importance: the anti-codon, which is responsible for specific mRNA codon recognition, and the 3' end, to which the tRNAs corresponding amino acid is attached (by aminoacyl-tRNA synthetases). tRNAs cope with the degeneracy of the genetic code in two manners: having more than one tRNA (with a specific anti-codon) for a particular amino acid; and 'wobble' base-pairing, i.e. permitting non-standard base-pairing at the 3rd anti-codon position. RNAcentral also lists the same sequence under 1 other name. The record is from Rfam by way of RNAcentral. Lineage: Eukaryota; Metazoa; Chordata; Mammalia; Rodentia; Sciuridae.
GGAGUUGUGGCUCAGUGGUAGAGUGCUUGCCUAGCAUGCAUGAGGCCCUGGGUUCUAUUCUCAGCACCCA